RNAcentral lists this ribosomal RNA (553 nucleotides) under uncultured bacterium. RNAcentral's name for it is "partial 16S ribosomal RNA". It matches the Rfam family "Bacterial small subunit ribosomal RNA", at positions 356 to 900 of the family's 1533-position model. The record is from RNAcentral.
AGGGAAUCUUCCACAAUGGACGCAAGUCUGAUGGAGCAACGCCGCGUGAGUGAAGAAGGUCUUCGGAUCGUAAAGCUCUGUUGUUGGUGAAGAAGGAUAGAGGCAGUAACUGGUCUUUAUUUGACGGUAAUCAACCAGAAAGUCACGGCUAACUACGUGCCAGCAGCCGCGGUAAUACGUAGGUGGCAAGCGUUGCCCGGAUUUAUUGGGCGUAAAGCGAGCGCAGGCGGAAUGAUAAGUCUGAUGUGAAAGCCCACGGCUCAACCGUGGAACUGCAUCGGAAACUGUCAUUCUUGAGUGCAGAAGAGGAGAGUGGAACUCCAUGUGUAGCGGUGGAAUGCGUAGAUAUAUGGAAGAACACCAGUGGCGAAGGCGGCUCUCUGGUCUGCAACUGACGCUGAGGCUCGAAAGCAUGGGUAGCGAACAGGAUUAGAUACCCUGGUAGUCCAUGCCGUAAACGAUGAGCGCUAGGUGUUGGGGACUUUCCGGUCCUCAGUGCCGCAGCAAACGCAUUAAGCGCUCCGCCUGGGGAGUACGACCGCAAGGUUGAAAC